Molecule: ribosomal RNA, 449 nt
Filed under: uncultured organism
Description: partial 16S ribosomal RNA
Rfam family: Bacterial small subunit ribosomal RNA
Source: RNAcentral
CACUCCGCGGGAGGCAGCAGUGGGGAAUAUUGGACAAUGGGCGCAAGCCUGAUCCAGCCAUGCCGCGUGAGUGAUGAAGGCCCUAGGGUUGUAAAGCUCUUUCACCGGUGAAGAUAAUGACGGUAACCGGAGAAGAAGCCCCGGCUAACUUCGUGCCAGCAGCCGCGGUAAUACGAAGGGGGCUAGCGUUGUUCGGAUUUACUGGGCGUAAAGCGCACGUAGGCGGACUAUUAAGUCAGGGGUGAAAUCCCGGGGCUCAACCCCGGAACUGCCUUUGAUACUGGUAGUCUUGAGUUCGAGAGAGGUGAGUGGAAUUCCGAGUGUAGAGGUGAAAUUCGUAGAUAUUCGGAGGAACACCAGUGGCGAAGGCGGCUCACUGGCUCGAUACUGACGCUGAGGUGCGAAAGCGUGGGGAGCAAACAGGAUUAGAAACCCCGGUAGUCCCAUGA